GAUGAACGCUGGCGGCGUGCCUAAUACAUGCAAGUCGAGCGAACAGACGAGGAGCUUGCUCCUUUGACGUUAGCGGCGGACGGGUGAGUAACACGUAGGUAACCUACCUAUAAGACUGGGAUAACUUCGGGAAACCGGAGCUAAUACCGGAUAAUAUUUCGAACCGCAUGGUUCGAUAGUGAAAGAUGGCUUUGCUAUCACUUAUAGAUGGACCUGCGCCGUAUUAGCUAGUUGGUAAGGUAACGGCUUACCAAGGCAACGAUACGUAGCCGACCUGAGAGGGUGAUCGGCCACACUGGAACUGAGACACGGUCCAGACUCCUACAGGAGGCAGCAGUAGGGAAUCUUCCGCAAUGGGCGAAAGCCUGACGGAGCAACGCCGCGUGAGUGAUGAAGGUCUUCGGAUCGUAAAACUCUGUUAUUAGGGAAGAACAAACGUGUAAGUAACUGUGCACGUCUUGACGGUACCUAAUCAGAAAGCCACGGCUAACUACGUG
Molecule: ribosomal RNA, 497 nt
Filed under: uncultured bacterium
Lineage: Bacteria
Description: partial 16S ribosomal RNA
Rfam family: Bacterial small subunit ribosomal RNA
Source: RNAcentral